UAGGGAAUCUUCCGCAAUGGGCGAAAGCCUGACGGAGCAACGCCGCGUGAGUGAUGAAGGUCUUCGGAUCGUAAAACUCUGUUAUUAGGGAAGAACAAAUGUGUAAGUAACUAUGCACGUCUUGACGGUACCUAAUCAGAAAGCCACGGCUAACUACGUGCCAGCAGCCGCGGUAAUACGUAGGUGGCAAGCGUUAUCCGGAAUUAUUGGGCGUAAAGCGCGCGUAGGCGGUUUUUUAAGUCUGAUGUGAAAGCCCACGGCUCAACCGGGGGGGGUCAUUGGAAACUGGAAAACUUGAGUGCAGAAGAGGAAAGUGGAAUUCCAUGUGUAGCGGUGAAAUGCGCAGAGAUAUGGAGGAACACCAGUGGCGAAGGCGACUUUCUGGUCUGUAACUGACGCUGAUGUGCGAAAGCGUGGGGAUCAAACAGG
RNAcentral lists this ribosomal RNA (429 nucleotides) under Actinomycetes bacterium. Its description in RNAcentral is "Actinobacteria bacterium partial 16S ribosomal RNA". It matches the Rfam family "Bacterial small subunit ribosomal RNA", at positions 355 to 776 of the family's 1533-position model. The record is from RNAcentral. Lineage: Bacteria; Bacillati; Actinomycetota; Actinomycetes.